Molecule: long non-coding RNA, 617 nt
Organism: Ruditapes philippinarum (Manila clam)
Lineage: Eukaryota; Metazoa; Mollusca; Bivalvia; Venerida; Veneridae
Exons: 4
Source: RefSeq, a predicted model, not a curated record
UAUAUUAAGCGUCCUAGACAACCAACAUGGCCGACACAGAUGAUAAAACUGAAAAAGAGAAAACAACUUCAAAUAAGGACAAGGUUAAAAAAGAUAAAGAAAAUGAAAAACUGAAAACAAGUACAGAAAACAAGGGUAAAACUGAUAGUUCUACACCAAAGAAAGACAGUGAUAUUCCAGAAGCUGUUUGACUCUAAAAGACAAUACUAAACAUGACAAUUUUGAUAAAAGCUUCUGACACUAAAGAUGAAAAAUACUGAACAUGUUGACACUAAAGCUAAUGAUACAGAUGUUGACAAUGUAAACACAAAUGCUGAUAAGGAACAAACACCAAGAUGUAAAGACUAGCAAAAAAAGACAAUAAGGCUGGUAAAUCUUCAGAUAAGGCUAGUACAAAGGUUGGAGAAAGUUCUGUUGGAAGUGUUCCUGUAACAAAGUUGGUUCAGAGUCAUUAUAAAACUCAUACAAAGUCUACAUUACCUCAUGUGCUCACAGAGUAUGGACUGGAAGAUAAAGAACACCCAAAGAAAGAGAAAAGGAAGAGACGGAAGAAGAAAAUAGAGGUGGCUAGUGAUACAGAAGAUGAUGAAAAGUCAAGGAGAAAGGCCAAAGAUGAU